RNAcentral lists this ribosomal RNA (252 nucleotides) under uncultured bacterium. RNAcentral's name for it is "partial 16S ribosomal RNA". It matches the Rfam family "Bacterial small subunit ribosomal RNA", at positions 524 to 776 of the family's 1533-position model. The record is from RNAcentral.
UACGAGGGGGGCAAAUGUUGUUCGGAAUCACUGGGCGUAAAGGGAGCGUAGGCGGGUUUCUAAGUCAGGUGUUUAAUCCCGGGGCCCAACCCCGGACAGGCACUUGAAACUGGGAAUCUUGAAUAGUGGAGAGGUCAGUGGAAUUGGGGUGUAGCGGUGGAAUGCGUAGAGAUCCCCAAGAACACCAGUUGCGAAGGCGGCUGACUAGACACAUAUUGACGCUGAGGCUCGAAAGCAUGGGGAGCAAACAGG